UAAGACGGAGGGCGCUAGCGUUGUUCGGAAUCACUGGGCGUAAAGGGCGCGCAGGCGGCCUGGUCAGUCGGGCGUGAAAGCCCGGGGCUCAACCCCGGAACGGCGCCCGAGACGGCCCGGCUGGAGACCGGGAGAGGGGGGUGGAAUAGCCAGUGUAGAGGUGAAAUUCGUAGAUAUUGGCUGGAACACCGGUGGCGAAAGCGGCUCCCUGGCCCGGUUCUGACGCUGAGGCGCGAAAGCGUGGGGAGCAAACAGGAUUAGAUACCCUGGUAGUCCACGCCCUAAACGAUGUGCGCUGGGCGUCGGGGGGCUCGCCCCUCGGUGCCGGAGCCAACGCGGUAAGCGCACCGCCUGGGGAGUACGGCCGCAAGGUUA
This 375-nucleotide ribosomal RNA is filed under the name uncultured bacterium. RNAcentral's name for it is "bacterial SSU rRNA". It matches the Rfam family "Bacterial small subunit ribosomal RNA", at positions 521 to 896 of the family's 1533-position model. The record is from RNAcentral.